Molecule: ribosomal RNA, 253 nt
Filed under: uncultured bacterium
Lineage: Bacteria
Description: partial 16S ribosomal RNA
Rfam family: Bacterial small subunit ribosomal RNA
Source: RNAcentral
UACGUAGGGUGCGAGCGUUGUCCGGAAUUAUUGGGCGUAAAGAGCUCGUAGGCGGUCUGUUGCGUCCGCUGUGAAAACUCGGGGCUUAACCCCGAGCCUGCAGUGGAUACGGGCAGACUAGAGGUAGGUAGGGGAGAAUGGAAUUCCCGGUGUAGUGGUGAAAUGCGUAGAUAUCGGGAGGAACACCAGUGGCGAAGGCGACUAUCUGGGCUGCAACUGACGCUGAGGCGCGAAGGCUAGGGUAGCAAACAGG